UACGAAGGGGGCUAGCGUUGCUCGGAAUCACUGGGCGUAAAGCGCGCGUAGGCGGCUUUGUAAGUUAGAGGUGAAAGCCCAGGGCUCAACCCUGGAAUUGCCUUUAAGACUGCAUCGCUUGAACAUCGGAGAGGUAAGUGGAAUUCCGAGUGUAGAGGUGAAAUUCGUAGAUAUUCGGAAGAACACCAGUGGCGAAGGCGACUUACUGGACGAUUGUUGACGCUGAGGUGCGAAAGCGUGGGGAGCAAACAGG
This 253-nucleotide ribosomal RNA is filed under the name uncultured bacterium. RNAcentral's name for it is "partial 16S ribosomal RNA". It matches the Rfam family "Bacterial small subunit ribosomal RNA", at positions 524 to 776 of the family's 1533-position model. The record is from RNAcentral.